CCUACAUGAAGCUGGAGUUACUAGUAAUCGCAGAUCAGAAUGCUGCGGUGAAUGCGUUCCCGGGUCUUGUACACACCGCCCGUCACACCACGGAAGUUGGGGCGCCCGAAGCCACUUAGCUAACCCAUUUGGGAAGCGAGUGUCGAAGGUGAAAUCAAUAACUGGGGUGAAGUCGUAACAAGGUAAC
Molecule: ribosomal RNA, 187 nt
Filed under: uncultured bacterium
Lineage: Bacteria
Description: partial 16S ribosomal RNA
Rfam family: Bacterial small subunit ribosomal RNA
Source: RNAcentral